UGAGGCAGCUGAUGUACUGGCUAAACAAGCACUUAGUAGUGGGGAUGUUGAUGUUGUAGUUUCAAUGAGCAAAGCAGAGGCAAAAAGCCUGAUGUGGACAGUGAUAGUGCAGAGAUGGCGGGAGCAGUGGAAUAGAGAUACUAAGGGCAGCCAUUUAUUUCAAGUACAGAGGAAAGUUGGGGAGGGGAGGACGGCAGGAAGAGACAGAAGAGAUGAGGCUAUUUUCUAUACAAGAUUAAGGGUGGGACACAGUAGGUUGAAUAAGACUUUAAAUGUGAUAGGAAAGCAUCUAACAGGAAAGUGUGAUUAUUGCCAGGAAACAGAGACAGUGGAGCAUGUACUGAUACUGUGUGGGCAGUGUGAGAGGAAAGAGAAAGGCUGAGAUACAAUAUGAGGGAGAAGGGGAUACCAGAAAUGAGUUUAAAGAGUAUACUGAGUAUUACGUCAUGAGAUACAGUCUAAAAUAUUUUGUUAUCUUUUUAGAAACGAGUCUGGCAGGUAGGGUUGAGUUUCUCCCUGUCGCUGGCCCACACUCCAGUAUAGUAGGUGGCGGUAAUGCACCAUAACAUUGACGGCCAACUGCCGAUGAACCCCACCGAAGAAGACGUCUUUUCUUUCAGUUGGACAAGAAAACAUCGUACAGAUACAAACGGUGUAGUAGAUUAAAGUAUAUAUUUGCAUAUUUCAAUACAUGUAUAAGCUUCAUGAGCGACAAUAACAUACUACGCGUGAAAUGGAGUCUGCUUACAGUCGGUUCGAUUCAUAUGACUUCGAGGUGGAUCCGAAUUUCCAGAAUGGUUUGAAAAAUCUUCAAGCUUCCAGCGAGGAAACUGUUUUGGGGAUUAAAUUAUUAUUUUACAAUCGAUUUGUCGAGCCCAUUGACUUGGAUGGGUACAAACAAUGGCGUGUCAGUUCUACUGCCCUGUCCUCGACAUCCUCCAUGGGUGACAACAUUGAACAGUUGAAGAAGUUCGACCACUUGACUAUUGCAGAUUCAAAUUCUGAUAUUUGUGAAAGUACCACUGGUGGGACCUCAGCGAACACAGAUGCAGCCCUUUCAUUCGAGGAAGUGUUCCGGCUAGUCCAAGCAGGAGAGGAGGUCCCAGGCCUCUCAAAGCUGGACGUAAAACCUAAUAACCAAACUCCAACUCCCUCGCAGAUGGAGAGGAGGCCAAAACCCUGGGAGAACUCUAAGACACACAUGUGACUUGUACACAUUACCUUUUCCCUCACUGUCCACUUUUGAAGAAAAGUUCAUUUUGACCAGCUGUUAAUAUCCUCUAAACUUGCAAUAAAAACGUUAAUUUUU
Salmo salar (Atlantic salmon) is the source of this 1309-nucleotide non-coding RNA. The record is from RefSeq and is a predicted model, not a curated record. NCBI's taxonomy places the organism in Eukaryota, Metazoa, Chordata, Actinopteri, Salmoniformes, Salmonidae.